This 521-nucleotide ribosomal RNA is filed under the name uncultured bacterium. Its description in RNAcentral is "bacterial SSU rRNA". It matches the Rfam family "Archaeal small subunit ribosomal RNA", at positions 345 to 866 of the family's 1478-position model. The record is from RNAcentral.
AACCUCCGCAAUGUGAGAAAUCGCGACGGGGGGAUCCCAAGUGCCAUUCUUAACGGGAUGGCUUUUCAUUAGUGUAAAGAGCUUUUGGAAUAAGAGCUGGGCAAGACCGGUGCCAGCCGCCGCGGUAACACCGGCAGCUCUAGUGGUAACAAUUUUUAUUGGGCCUAAAGCGUCCGUAGCCGGUUUAAUAAGUCUCUGGUGAAAUCCUGUAGCUUAACUGUGGGAAUUGCUGGAGAUACUAUUAGACUUGAGACCGGGAGAGGUUAGGGGUACUCCCAGGGUAGAGGUGAAAUUCUGUAAUCCUGGGAGGACCGCCUGUUGCGAAGGCGUCUAACUGGAACGGUUCUGACGGUGAGGGACGAAAGUUAGGGGCGCGAACCGGAUUAGAUACCCGGGUAGUCCUAACUGUAAACGAUGCGGACUUGGUGUUGGGGUGGCUUUGAGCUGCUCCAGUGCCGAAGGGAAGCUGUUAAGUCCGCCGCCUGGGAAGUACGGUCGCAAGACUGAAACUUAAAGGAAUU